CCAAUCUAAUAUUCACCCUGCAUAAACAAUCACUAGCAUUCAAUAUUGAUGUCACAUAAGACUCAUAGUCACUCAAAAUUGUUUAAGAGAUGAUAAUGGUUUUUAACUAUUCUAAAAAUAAAAUUAUAAGUAUUUCUAACGAUAAUAACAUGUUAUUGUUGCCUCUUUUAUCGAUGAUGAGUCAUCGGGGUAACUAGUUCCUCUUACUCAUGUAGUCAACUACUGAAGGUAACCAUAAUUGUGAUCAUCCAAUUCAAGCAUGGGUAAUUAAAAGUAACUUUAACGUGGUUCAGGAGUGUGAAGACGGCGCCACAAUCCCAACAAAAGAAAGGACAAUAACAUCAAUAUAUAAUCAAUCAUUCGAUUUAAGAAAUAUAGAAUUAUCCCACCUUUAGAUGCUCUUGACUAUUCUAACUUUAUACGCUAAUUCCCAAUAAUUAGAACACUUGAAACACAAACAAUUUCAUAUUUACAUAAUCAUAUACUCAUUCACAUAACUAAUCCAAACAUUAGCACCAAUUUUUUUUUCAUCUCAUAACUCAAACGAUGUAGCAUAUCCUCAUAGAACUCUAACUGCUCCAAAUUGAUCACGAUUAUAUUUUCUUUUGAAUUAAUCUUCAUCACUUAAAUAUUACAAUAAACUAAAACAGAUAUAAGAUUUCUAAAAUUUUACUUGUACUUUAAUCAUCGAAAACUCAUUUCCAAAUAGUUAAUCAUUAUAAAAAUUAUUAUUUUCAACUUAUAUUUUGAAAGAAAAUUUAUACUAUAUAUAUAGAUAGAUAGAUAGAUAGAUAGAUAGAUAGAUAGAUAGAUAGAGAUGUCACAUAAGACUCAUAGUCACUCAAAAUUGUUUAAGAGAUGAUAAUGGUUUUUAACUAUUCUAAAAAUAAAAUUAUAAGUAUUUCUAACGAUAAUAACAUGUUAUUGUUGCCUCUUUUAUCGACGAUGAGUCAUCGGGGUAACUAGUUCCUCUUACUCAUGUAGUCAACUACUGAAGGUAACCAUAAUUGUGAUCAUCCAAUUCAAGCAUGGGUAAUUAAAAGUAACUUUAACGUGGUUCAGGAGUGUAAUUUACAACAAAUUACAACAACAAAAGAAAGGACAAUAACAUCAAUAUAUAAUCAAUCAUUCGAUUUAAGAAAUAUAGAAUUAUCCCACCUUUAGAUGCUCUUGACUAUUCUAACUUGAUACGCUAAUUCCCAAUAAUUAGAACACUUGAAACACAAACAAUUUCAUAUUUACAUAAUCAUAUACUCAUUCACAUAACUAAUCCAAACAUUAGCACCGAUUUUUUUUCAUCUCAUAACUCAAACGAUGUAGCAUAUCCUCAUAGAACUCUAACUGCUCCAAAUUGAUCACGAUUAUAUUUUCUUUUGAAUUAAUCUUCAUCACUUAAAGAUUACAAUAAACUAAAACAGAUAUAAGAUUUCUAAAAUUUUACUUGUACUUUAAUCAUCGAAAACUCAUUUCCAAAUAGUUAAUCAUUAUAAAAAUUAUUAUUUUCAACUUAUAUUUUGAAAGAAAAUUUAUACUAUAUAUAUAGAUAGAUAGAUAGAAAAUUUUCCCAUAAGUUAAUACUUCUAAAAUAGUUCUAAUUUAUUUUCUUAUUUCCUCAAAACUUACAAAAGCAAAAGUGUAUAUCUAUAUACAUUAAAGUAGUACACAUGAAAAAGCAUAAGACAUAAUUGGUUACGAUAAUGAAUUACAUUAAUUCACAAAUUUACAAAAUAACAGACUCCUUUCACACUAGUUACUCAACAUGUUUAUAGAUACACACUCAGUUUCUAUCAAGCCACAAAAUUGGUCUAAAAGCAUAACACACCAGAUUUUUGAGGCAUGUUCUAAUCUUAAAAAUUGAGUCCCUAAUAAAAAAAAUGCAAUUUUAUAAUUAAAAAUACAAUUCUACUAAAAAAAAACAUUCUACUCAUAAAAUACAUCGAUUAUAGAAUUCAAAAGUUAGAUAACUUUUCAAAACUUUUGUUUUUUCUUUCUUUAGUUUUCCUUUUCCUUACCAGUAAACAUUUUAUUAUUUGACUUUUUUUUUACUAGUACCAUUAUAAAUCAUUGAUAAGUUCUUAAAAUAUAAAACUCUAACGUCAAGUUAAACUCUAAUGAGUUCAUAAUAUUAGA
This 2130-nucleotide long non-coding RNA is filed under the name Cicer arietinum (chickpea). Its description in RNAcentral is "long non-coding RNA (CARI_LNC003701)". The record is from RNAcentral. Lineage: Eukaryota; Viridiplantae; Streptophyta; Magnoliopsida; Fabales; Fabaceae.